Molecule: long non-coding RNA, 380 nt
Filed under: Lathyrus oleraceus (garden pea)
Lineage: Eukaryota; Viridiplantae; Streptophyta; Magnoliopsida; Fabales; Fabaceae
Description: Pisum sativum (pea) long non-coding RNA (PSAT_LNC041898)
Source: RNAcentral
UUUUUUAAUUUUGAAUUGGUUUUGCAAGUGAAGUGAUGUUGAUGCUGAUUGAUUGAAAAAGGGGGGCUGUUAUUCAACAGGUUUUGGAAAAGUUCUGAAGAGUUGGUUUUGAAUUGGGAACUUCCAAAAGAGCUUUUGGAAGAGUCUGUGAAAUAUGAUGUUGAUGCUGAUUGAUUGAAAAAGGGGGGCUGUUAUUCAACAGGUUUUGGAAAAGUUCUGAAGAGUUGGUUUUGAAUUGGGAACUUCCAAAAGAGCUUUUGGAAGAGUCUGUGAAAUUUGCUUUUUUUUGUUAUUUAUGUGGAUACUUUUGGGUUAUAAUGUAAUAUUUGGAUUAAAUUUUAAUUAUGUAAUUAUCUUUUAAGCUUUUCAAAAUUUAACUC